CAGUAGCCGCGGUAAUACGUAUGUCACAAGCGUUAUCCGGAUUUAUUGGGCGUAAAGCGCGUCUAGGUGGUUAUGUAAGUCUGAUGUGAAAAUGCAGGGCUCAACUCUGUAUUGCGUUGGAAACUGUAUAACUAGAGUACUGGAGAGGUAAGCGGAACUACAAGUGUAGAGGUGAAAUUCGUAGAUAUUUGUAGGAAUGCCGAUGGGGAAGCCAGCUUACUGGACAGAUACUGACGCUGAAGCGCGAAAGCGUGGGUAGCAAACAGGAUUAGAUACCCGGGUAGUCCCUGUCUCUUAUACA
This 301-nucleotide ribosomal RNA is filed under the name uncultured bacterium. RNAcentral describes it as "partial 16S ribosomal RNA". It matches the Rfam family "Bacterial small subunit ribosomal RNA", at positions 509 to 808 of the family's 1533-position model. The record is from RNAcentral.